UACAUGGGGUGCAAACGUUGCUCGGAAUUACUGGGCGUAAAGGGCGCGUAGGCGGGAUGGCAAGUCGGUCGUGAAAUCCCUCGGCUCAACCGAGGAACGUCGAUCGAUACUGCUGUUCUUGAGGAUUGCAGAGGAGACUGGAAUUCCCGGUGUAGCGGUGAAAUGUGUAGAGAUCGGGAGGAACACCGGUGGCGAAGGCGGGUCUCUGGGCAAUUCCUGACGCUGAGGCGCGAAAGCGUGGGGAGCAAACGGG
RNAcentral lists this ribosomal RNA (253 nucleotides) under uncultured bacterium. RNAcentral describes it as "partial 16S ribosomal RNA". It matches the Rfam family "Bacterial small subunit ribosomal RNA", at positions 524 to 776 of the family's 1533-position model. The record is from RNAcentral.